AUAGAAACUUUGUGAAAGUGACGUGUCAAAAUAAAAGCUCCAAGUGAAAGUGGCAUGUCAAAGUGACGUGUCAAAAUAAAAGCUCCAGGUGAAAGUGGUGUCAAAAUAAAAGCUCCAGGUGAAAGUGAUGUCAAAAUAAAAGCUCCAGGUGAAAGUGAUGUCAAAAUAAAAGCUCCAGGUCAAAGUGACGUGUCAAAAUAAAAGUUCUAAGUGAAAGUGACGUGUCAAAAUAAAAGCUCCAGGUCAAAGUGACGUGUCAAAAUAAAAGCUCCAAGUGAAAGUGACGUGUCAAAAUAAAAGCUCCAAGUGAAAGUGACGUGUCAAAAUAAAAGCUCCAGGUCAAAGUGACGUGUCAAAAUAAAAGCUCCAAGUGAAAGUGACGUGUCAAAAUAAAAGCUCCAAGUGAAAGUGACGUGUCAAAAUAAAAGCUCCAGGUCAAAGUGACGUGUCAAAAUAAAAGCUCCAGGUCAAAGUGACGUGUCAAAAUAAAAGCUCCAGGUGAAAGUGACGUGUCAAAAUAAAAGCUCCAGGUGAAAGUGACGUGUCAAAAUAAAAGCACCAGGUCAAAGUGACUGUCAAAAUAAAAGCUUCAGGUCAAAGUGAUGUCAAA
Xyrauchen texanus (razorback sucker) is the source of this 610-nucleotide long non-coding RNA. RefSeq lists it as uncharacterized. The transcript has 3 exons. Lineage: Eukaryota; Metazoa; Chordata; Actinopteri; Cypriniformes; Catostomidae. The record is from RefSeq and is a predicted model, not a curated record.